AUGGUCCACGCGUACACUCCGGUGCUGAGCGCGCGGUCCACACCUACCUGACGACUGCUCGCUACGUUUUGUUAGCC
Molecule: small RNA, 77 nt
Filed under: Xanthomonas dyei pv. eucalypti
Lineage: Bacteria; Pseudomonadati; Pseudomonadota; Gammaproteobacteria; Lysobacterales; Lysobacteraceae
Also listed under: 2 other names
Description: sX9 sRNA
Rfam family: Xanthomonas sRNA sX9
Source: RNAcentral